RNAcentral lists this ribosomal RNA (343 nucleotides) under uncultured bacterium. RNAcentral's name for it is "bacterial SSU rRNA". It matches the Rfam family "Bacterial small subunit ribosomal RNA", at positions 30 to 372 of the family's 1533-position model. The record is from RNAcentral.
AUUGAACGCUGGCGGCAUGCCUAACACAUGCAAGUCGAACGGAGAUAGGGGCAACCUUAUUUCAGUGGCGGACGGGUGAGGAAUGCGUCGGAAUCUGCCCUAUGGUGGGGGAGUAACACAGGGAAACGUUAGUUGCUAAUACCGCAUAAUGUCGAGAGACCAAAGCAGGGGACCGGCAAGGCCUUGCGCGAUAGGAUGAGCCGACGCCCGAUUAGCUUGUUGGUAGGGUAAUGGCCUACCAAGGCGACGAUCGGUAGCUGGUCUGAGAGGAUGAUCAGCCACACUGGGACUGAGACACGGCCCAGACUCCUACGGGAGGCAGCAGUGGGGAAUAUUGGACAAU